RNAcentral lists this unclassified non-coding RNA (244 nucleotides) under Hevea brasiliensis (rubber tree). The record is from RNAcentral. Lineage: Eukaryota; Viridiplantae; Streptophyta; Magnoliopsida; Malpighiales; Euphorbiaceae.
AAUCAGCAGGGGCAGUUUUCAGCUCAAUCAGCGAUCCCAAUAAACUAUUGUGUCAGUAACGUAACUAUCUUUUGAUUAUCAGACUCCAUCAGUUUGGUUGCCGAGAAACCACUAGAAAAUGAACAAGAAAAUUGGGAAUCUCAUGAAAUAAUUGAUCUUUUCUGUAAAUCUAUGGGGUGAGGAUUCCCAAAACUCUUUCUUUCACUUUCUUUACGAUUUGCGAUUCUUUCUCUGCGGUUACUCG